GGAUUUGAAGCGGAGCUCCCUUCGAUCCAAUGAAGGGUCCUUUUGAAGGGUGGUACAGCUGCUUGUUCAUGGUUCCCACUCUCCUAUCUCAUCAGCUCCGAGAGAGAGAGAGAGAUUGUGAGGGUGAGGUGAUUUGGUUUGAGAUAGGCUUGUGGUUUGCAUGACCGAGGAGCUGCAUCUUCCCCUUUGUGGCCGCUCUUUGGAUUGAAGGGAGCUCUGCAUCGAUCUCGA
Molecule: microRNA precursor, 231 nt
Organism: Setaria italica (foxtail millet)
Lineage: Eukaryota; Viridiplantae; Streptophyta; Magnoliopsida; Poales; Poaceae
Rfam family: MIR159 microRNA precursor family
Source: Rfam